This 364-nucleotide ribosomal RNA is filed under the name Triticum aestivum (bread wheat). RNAcentral's name for it is "partial small subunit ribosomal RNA". The record is from RNAcentral. Lineage: Eukaryota; Viridiplantae; Streptophyta; Magnoliopsida; Poales; Poaceae.
GAAGAGAUCAAUUGGGAAGAAGAAAUUCAGUUUGAUCCAGGUAAAAGGAGAAGCAUAGAUGAGUACCAUCCCAAUCAGAGAGAUAUGGUAAGAAGGAAGUAUUUGGCCAAUGGCCCUUAUCAACCUCGUACUGCUGAUUUUGAAGUGACAGAAAUAUGUGGUAAAGAUAGAAGGUUCGUUCGGGAAUGGUUUGAUGAGUUUGGGAGCUGGACCGCGCAAGAAGAAAGAAGCCGGUUAUGAUGCAUUUGUUGCAAAUGGUUGGUCAAGUUGGAAUAAAAAAUAUAGAUUAAAGGAGCAUGUAUGAGACAUCAAUAGUGCUCACAACCAAGCAAAAAGAGAUUGUGAUGCUUUGCUGAAACAAAAG